Molecule: ribosomal RNA, 481 nt
Filed under: uncultured bacterium
Lineage: Bacteria
Description: bacterial SSU rRNA
Rfam family: Bacterial small subunit ribosomal RNA
Source: RNAcentral
GAUGAACGCUAGCUACAGGCUUAACACAUGCAAGUCGAGGGGAAACGAUAUUGGAAGCUUGCUUCUGAUAGGCGUCGACCGGCGCACGGGUGAGUAACGCGUAUCCAACCUGCCCAUCACUUGGGGAUAACCUUGUGAAAGUAAGACUAAUACCCAAUGACGUCUCUAGAAGACAUCUGAAAGAGAUUAAAGAUUUAUCGGUGAUGGAUGGGGAUGCGUCUGAUUAGCUUGUUGGCGGGGUAACGGCCCACCAAGGCGACGAUCAGUAGGGGUUCUGAGAGGAAGGUCCCCCACAUUGGAACUGAGACACGGUCCAAAACUCCUACGGGAGGCAGCAGUGAGGAAUAUUGGUCAAUGGACGAGAGUCUGAACCAGCCAAGUAGCGUGCAGGAUGACGGCCCUAUGGGUUGUAAAACUGCUUUUAUAAAGGGAAUAAAAGUGGGAGUCCGUGACUCUUUUUGCAUGUACCUUAUGAAUAAGA